GAGUUUGAUCAUGGCUCAGAUUGAACGCUGGCGGCAUGCCUUACACACGCAAGUCGAACGGCAGCACGGGAGCUUGCUCCUGGUGGCGAGUGGCGAACGGGUGAGUAAUGCAUCGGAACGUAUCCUGGAGUGGGGGAUAACGUAGCGAAAGUUACGCUAAUACCGCAUAUUCUGUGAGCAGGAAAGCGGGGGACCUUCGGGCCUCGCGCUCUUGGAGCGGCCGAUGUCGGAUUAGCUAGUUGGUGAGGUAAAGGCUCACCAAGGCGACGAUCCGUAGCAGGUCUGAGAGGAUGAUCUGCCACACUGGAACUGAGACACGGU
RNAcentral lists this ribosomal RNA (321 nucleotides) under bacterium enrichment culture clone ALO1_GLFRUDD03FYJ1U. RNAcentral's name for it is "bacterial SSU rRNA". It matches the Rfam family "Bacterial small subunit ribosomal RNA", at positions 9 to 330 of the family's 1533-position model. The record is from RNAcentral.